CGGCGACGGGUGAGUAACACGUGGAUAACCUACCUAUAAGACUGGGAUAACUUCGGGAAACCGGAGCUAAUACCGGAUAAUAUAUUGAACCGCAUGGUUCAAUAGUGAAAGACGGUUUUGCUGUCACUUAUAGAUGGAUCCGCGCCGCAUUAGCUAGUUGGUAAGGUAACGGCUUACCAAGGCAACGAUGCGUAGCCGACCCGAGAGGGUGAUCGGCCACACUGGAACUGAGACACGGUCCAG
RNAcentral lists this ribosomal RNA (243 nucleotides) under uncultured Staphylococcus sp. RNAcentral describes it as "partial 16S ribosomal RNA". It matches the Rfam family "Bacterial small subunit ribosomal RNA", at positions 102 to 334 of the family's 1533-position model. Lineage: Bacteria; Bacillati; Bacillota; Bacilli; Caryophanales; Staphylococcaceae. The record is from RNAcentral.